CACGGAUUGAGACAUCAUGCAGGAGGUACGGGGGGCCUUCCUGGGUAUAGAUGAAGCUAUGAGCCAUGCAGAAGUUUUAAAGCUGGCUCAGGGUAUGAACUUGAAUGUCGUAGUCUUCGACACUGCUCUGACCAGACACACACACUGCUCCAGCUGAACACACAAUGUGUCUACUUUCAUUUCCUCAAGUGACUGGGACUCAAGAACCAGACAAUCCCUUUGUAAACCAGGUUCCGGGUACUGGAAGGUCGGGUUCGGUACGACCUACGUUGUCAGCGGCUCUAUAAACAACAACAACAACACCGUCCUCAGGACUCCUGCACCAGCCUUCGUCGGGAGUGGACGUCUCUCCCUUGCCUGUGUAACUAAGUUUA
This is a non-coding RNA of Cherax quadricarinatus, 374 nucleotides long. Lineage: Eukaryota; Metazoa; Arthropoda; Malacostraca; Decapoda; Parastacidae. The record is from RefSeq and is a predicted model, not a curated record.